CAGGCUGGCUGCCCACUCGCUUUCUCUCCUCACAAGACGCUUCCCCGGCCUUCGAGGAUCUCGAACGGACUAUAGUCUGGACUCGCUGGGCUGGAGGAAACUUGGCCGCUUGGCCACCCGGAGGAGACUGAGAAGCCUUUGGUCAACAGGGCGCCUUUCCUUGAACCAAAACAAAACUUUCCGAAGCCGGAAAGGAAACGCCCAGUGUCGCCUGAGAGCCCUGGAGCUGCGCGAGACACAGGCACUGAGUGCGGCCUCGGCCGCUGACCUCCAACACGCCGGGAGCAAACCAGCUGGGGCGGCCCGCAGGCCUGCGGGAGCGGAAUGUGAGCCGAAACCGACGGACUUCCUGACCCAUAGUCCAUAGUUCUCUUUAGCAACUUGAACAUUUUGGAAAAAGAAACAAGUCUUAACAUGCCUCGACCUAAUGGAAAAACUAAAUCCCCUUCCUACACCUUGCUUUCCAAAAGUUAAAAAAAGUAAUUAAACGCU
This 492-nucleotide long non-coding RNA is filed under the name Pongo abelii (Sumatran orangutan). RNAcentral describes it as "lincRNA". The record is from RNAcentral. Lineage: Eukaryota; Metazoa; Chordata; Mammalia; Primates; Hominidae.